This is a long non-coding RNA of Salvia splendens (bonfire salvia), 604 nucleotides long. RefSeq lists it as uncharacterized. The transcript has 2 exons. The record is from RefSeq and is a predicted model, not a curated record. Lineage: Eukaryota; Viridiplantae; Streptophyta; Magnoliopsida; Lamiales; Lamiaceae.
UCGUGUUCUUCCUAGUGAUUGUUGCAGCAUUUGUGAGCGCCAUCAGUGGCAGGACCAUAGAGAGUGGGGCUGACAUGGAGACGGCGUUUUUCCGUCCCCACUUCCGCCCCUAUCCGGGCUUCUUUGGUGGAUAGGGGAGCGGUGGAGUUGGUGGAAGAUUUGCUGGCGGUGGUGGUGGCGAUAUCGGUGACUUGGCUCAAGGUACUUAGAAAUAUGAGGGGAGGGGUAUUGUGGCAACUUGGUCAAUCAAUUACCCGCCGCUUGGCCCAGUCCGAUGAGAAAACAGUUGCUCGCUGGUGUUCUGUACGACUUCCACGUUGCUCAUGGCGAGAAGAUGGUCCCUUUUGCAGGCUGGAGCAUGCCGAUUCAGUACAAAGACUCGAUUAUAGCCUCAACGUUGAACUGCAGGGAAAACGGCAGCCUCUUUGAUGUUUCACAUAUGUGUGGUCUGAGUCUUAAAGGAAAAGACUGUAUCUCUUUUCAUAAUAUUUACUGAGUAGUCAUUGAGUUGUUAGAAUUUCUUCAUAAGACCUGGAUUCUAGGAAUGCUGCUUUUCUGCAGCAGUCAUGCUGAUAUUUAUGAAAUAUGAUGAAAGUUUUACACA